CCGGUAAACGGCGGCCGUAACUAUAACGGUCCUAAGGUAGCGAAAUUCCUUGUCGGGUAAGUUCCGACCUGCACGAAUGGCGUAAUGAUGGCCAGGCUGUCUCCACCCGAGACUCAGUGAAAUUGAACUCGCUGUGAAGAUGCAGUGUACCCGCGGCAAGACGGAAAGACCCCGUGAACCUUUACUAUAGCUUGACACUGAACAUUGAGCCUUGAUGUGUAGGAUAGGUGGGAGGCUUUGAAGUGUGGACGCCAGUCUGCAUGGAGCCGACCUUGAAAUACCACCCUUUAAUGUUUGAUGUUCUAACGUUGACCCGUAAUCCGGGUUGCGGACAGUGUCUGGUGGGUAGUUUGACUGGGGCGGUCUCCUCCUAAAGAGUAACGGAGGAGCACGAAGGUUGGCUAAUCCUGGUCGGACAUCAGGAGGUUAGUGCAAUGGCAUAAGCCAGCUUGACUGCGAGCGUGACGGCGCGAGCAGGUGCGAAAGCAGGUCAUAGUGAUCCGGUGGUUCUGAAUGGAAGGGCCAUCGCUCAACGGAUAAAAGGUACU
This 548-nucleotide ribosomal RNA is filed under the name Escherichia coli. RNAcentral describes it as "partial 23S ribosomal RNA". It matches the Rfam family "Bacterial large subunit ribosomal RNA", at positions 1920 to 2467 of the family's 2925-position model. Lineage: Bacteria; Pseudomonadati; Pseudomonadota; Gammaproteobacteria; Enterobacterales; Enterobacteriaceae. The record is from RNAcentral.